AGUGAACGCUGGCGGUAGGCCUAACACAUGCAAGUCGAACGGCAGCACAGUAAGAGCUUGCUCUUACGGGUGGCGAGUGGCGGACGGGUGAGGAAUACAUCGGAAUCUACUUUUUCGUGGGGGAUAACGUAGGGAAACUUACGCUAAUACCGCAUACGACCUACGGGUGAAAGCAGGGGAUCUUCGGACCUUGCGCGAUUGAAUGAGCCGAUGUCGGAUUAGCUAGUUGGCGGGGUAAAGGCCCACCAAGGCGACGAUCCGUAGCUGGUCUGAGAGGAUGAUCAGCCACACUGGAACUGGGACACGAUCCAGACUCCUACGGGAGGCAGCAGUGGGGAAUAUUGGACAAUGGGCGCAAGCCUGAUCCAGCCAUACCGCGUGGGUGAAGAAGGCCUUCGGGUUGUAAAGCCCUUUUGUUGGGAAAGAAAAGCAGCAGGUUAAUACCCCGCUGUUCUGACGGUACCCAAAGAAUAAGCACCGGCUAACUUCGUG
RNAcentral lists this ribosomal RNA (492 nucleotides) under uncultured bacterium. RNAcentral describes it as "partial 16S ribosomal RNA". It matches the Rfam family "Bacterial small subunit ribosomal RNA", at positions 29 to 507 of the family's 1533-position model. The record is from RNAcentral.